This 253-nucleotide ribosomal RNA is filed under the name uncultured bacterium. Its description in RNAcentral is "partial 16S ribosomal RNA". It matches the Rfam family "Bacterial small subunit ribosomal RNA", at positions 524 to 776 of the family's 1533-position model. The record is from RNAcentral.
UACGUAGGGUGCAGGCGUUAAUCGGAAUUACUGGGCGUAAAGCGUGCGCAGGCGGUUUCUUAAGUCAGAUGUGAAAGCCCCGGGCUUAACCUGGGAACUGCGUUUGAAACUGGGAGACUCGAGUGUGGCAGAGGGGGGUGGAAUUCCACGUGUAGCAGUGAAAUGCGUAGAUAUGUGGAGGAACACCGAUGGCGAAGGCAGCCCCCUGGGUCAACACUGACGCUCAUGCACGAAAGCGUGGGGAGCAAGCAGG